This 251-nucleotide ribosomal RNA is filed under the name uncultured prokaryote. Its description in RNAcentral is "partial 16S rRNA". It matches the Rfam family "Bacterial small subunit ribosomal RNA", at positions 525 to 775 of the family's 1533-position model. The record is from RNAcentral.
ACAUAGGGUGCAAGCGUUGUCCGGAUUUACUGGGCGUAAAGCGCGCGUAGGCGGUAAUUCAAGUCAAACUUUAAAGACUCCUGGCUCAACCGGAGUUUGGGUUUGAUACUGUUUUACUGGAGAUUGGGAGAGGAAAGUGGAACAAACAGUGUAGCGGUGAAAUGCGUAGAUAUUGUUUGGAACACCCAUGGCGAAGGCAACUUUCUGGACCAAAUCUGACGCUGAGGCGCGAAAGCGUGGGUAGCAAACAG